UUUCUCUGAAAAAAUGAAUAAAUAUUUAUUUUUAAAAAAGGAAGAGAGAGAGAGCAAACCUAAGUUUGAGAACUGGGGUAUGGAUGGGAGACUUCAAACUAGCAAGGCCAAGAAAGGGCCGGUACUUGUUUGCUGUGAAAUCAGCACAAAUCCUCACACAGAACCAAGACUGAAGGGGGAAACGUUAACAGCCAUGUGCUCAACAUGUUUUUCCCUUUGGGAAGAAAGAGCCCAAAAUGCCGGAGGAGUGAUUGGCAGCAUCAGAUCAUGGAGACAACAUGACUAUUCUACUUCAUUUUUUAGGCUCUUAACCAAGAAUUUUGCCCAUUAAAAUGAAGUGCUCAUGCAA
Molecule: long non-coding RNA, 349 nt
Organism: Suricata suricatta (meerkat)
Lineage: Eukaryota; Metazoa; Chordata; Mammalia; Carnivora; Herpestidae
Exons: 2
Source: RefSeq, a predicted model, not a curated record